UACGGAGGGUGCAAGCGUUAAUCGGAAUUACUGGGCGUAAAGCGUGCGUAGGUGGUUCGUUAAGUCCGUUGUGAAAGCCCCGAGCUCAACUUGGGAAUUGCAGUGGAUACUGGCGAGCUAGAGUGCGGUAGAGGAAGGUGGAAUUCCCGGUGUAGCGGUGAAAUGCGUAGAGAUCGGGAGGAACACCAGUGGCGAAGGCGGUUACCUGGUCCUGCACUGACGCUGAUGCACGAAAGCUGGGGGAGCAAACGGG
RNAcentral lists this ribosomal RNA (253 nucleotides) under uncultured bacterium. RNAcentral describes it as "partial 16S ribosomal RNA". It matches the Rfam family "Bacterial small subunit ribosomal RNA", at positions 524 to 776 of the family's 1533-position model. The record is from RNAcentral.